Long non-coding RNA from Cyprinus carpio (common carp), 1748 nucleotides. The record is from Ensembl. NCBI's taxonomy places the organism in Eukaryota, Metazoa, Chordata, Actinopteri, Cypriniformes, Cyprinidae.
GGGAGAUGCAGAACAAGAGUCUGGUGGUGUUUGCAGAAAACAAUUUGAUUUAAACUUUUCAUGAAUUAAUUUUUGAAAUAUGUCCAUAUAGCAACAUAAACAGCAUUGGUCAGAAAUUUGGUAAGCAAUUAUUAAACAAUGAUACAGUAAAGUAAGAUGACAAUCACCACAGUGGUACUUGGGAAGAUGUAGAAUAAUAAGCUGGUGGAGUUUGCAGAAAAAACUUUUUUUUUCUUUUUUUUAAUGUCUUUUCAAAAUUUGAGUGUAUAGUGAGAAAGAUAGCAUUUUUCAUGAUUUUGGCAUGCAAUUGUUUAAAAAUGAUACAGUAAAGUCAUAUGAAAAUGACCGCAGUGGUACUUGGGGACAUGUAGAACAAGGCUCUGGUGGAGUUUGCAGAAAACAAUUUGAUUUCCCUUUUUAUGAAUUUUUAAAAUGUGUCCUUAUAGCAACAUAAAUAGCAUUGGCCAUGAUUUUGAUAAGCAAUUAUAAAAUAAAUAAAUAAAUAAAUUUAAAAAAUGAUUCAGUAAAGUAAGAUGGCAGUCACCACAGUGGUACCUGGGGAGAUGUAGAAUAAGAAUCUGGUGGAGUUUGCAGAAAACAAUUUGAUUAAAAUUUUUUAUGAAUUUUCAAAAUUCGAGUGUAUAGUGAGAAAGAUAGCAUUUUUCAUGAUUUUGGCAUGCAAUUAUUUAAGAAUGAUACAGUAAAAUGAUAUGAAAAUGACCACAGUGAUACUUGGGGACAUGUAGAACAAGACUCUGGUGGAGUUUGCAGAAAAAAUAUUUGAUUUCGCAUCUCCGAAUCGCAGAUGGCGUGACGGAAGUUGCUUGCGAGGAAAAUUUGCAGGUUAGUAACAGCACCAACUGCUGGUUACAACAACACGAACAACUGCGAGCCGUGUUUCAAGUUUAGUAGCCUUAUUUAUACGUUUUCUUGUGCGCAGCAGAGAGAGUCACACAGACGGCAGAAUCAAAACAAUGAAUGCCAUAAAUGCUGUGCAGUUGUUCAUUAUGGUUUGGACCUUCACCGCUGUCUGUCAAGCUGAUGUUGAUUUCUGCAGUGUAACUUGUCAAAAUGUGACUGGAUCUGUGGGGAAAGAAGCAAAUUUCACCUGCAACAUCUCUAAGCAGUGUGCUAAAUGCUGCGUUGUAAUGUAUAAGUUUCAAUACCCUGAGAGCUAUAAAGACUCAACAAUCCAUAAAGAAGUGUUUCCUGUGAACUCUUGUGAACAGAGAAACAGCUUCACAUGCAGCUACACUCCACCUACAGCAAUGACAGAAAAAUGCAGUUUCUUUGUGCAAACAAAGUGUGGAGUCAAAAGAACAUUAUUCACUGUAGACGUAAAUCUAAAUACUGCGACCAUCAAACCUGAAAUCAUCACUGAAGUCGUCACUCCUGGAAAGACAGAAAAACCUCCCUGGGACGGAUCAGAAACAUCUUUACAGAAGAAAGCAGAAGGUAAUGGAUUUAAGAUCGCCGUCAUCGCUGCUGUUAUAAGUGGUCUCAUCAUCAUCAUAAUGCCAAUCAUUUACAGAAUGACGCAAAAACACCCCAAACAAAAAAGGACAUUUCUGAUUUUCAGACAUGAUGAAGACAACAGCAAUCAUCCAGAAAAUGUUAUAUAACAGAAUUGACUCAGCAGUACCAAACAGUUUUUUUUUGUUUUGUUUUUUUGGAUAAUUUGUAUCAUGCUCAUGAAAGACACAAGCUUUAUUUGAACUCCAAUAAACUACUCUUUCUGUUAGACUUCA